CCUACGGGAGGCAGCAGUGGGGGAUAUUGCACAAUGGGGGAAACCCUGAUGCAGCGACGCCGCGUGUGGGAAGACGGUCUUCUGGAUUGUAAACCACUGUCCCCAGGGACGAAAAUGCCGGUACCUGGGGAGGAAGCUCCGGCUAACUACGUGCCAGCAGCCGCGGUAAUACGUAGGGAGCAAGCGUUGUCCGGAAUUACUGGGUGUAAAGGGAGCGUAGGCGGGGAUGCAAGUUGGGUGUCAAAACUACCGGCUCAACCGAUAGUCGCACUCAAAACUGCAGCUCUUGAGUGAAGUAGAGGCAGGCGGAAUUCCUGGUGUAGCGGUGAAAUGCGUAGAUAUUAGGAGGAACACCAGUGGCGAAGGCGGCCUGCUGGGCUUUUACUGACGCUGAGGCUCGAAAGUGUGGGGAGCAAACAGGAUUAGAUACACUUGUAGUC
RNAcentral lists this ribosomal RNA (440 nucleotides) under uncultured bacterium. RNAcentral's name for it is "partial 16S ribosomal RNA". It matches the Rfam family "Bacterial small subunit ribosomal RNA", at positions 338 to 795 of the family's 1533-position model. The record is from RNAcentral.